UUGGAGUUUGUGACCCAAAUUUUGUUGAUCCGUCCCUGAAAAGAUCGCGGUGCGAUUCAUGUUUGAGAUUUUUGAGAGCCUUGUGAUGGUAGCGUGGGAAUCGGGCCAAUAGAGUUUUCUUGUACGCGCGUAUUAUAUAAGUGUGACUUAGAGAGUUAGUUUUAAUAUGACGGUUCUUGUAUGUCAUUGAGAACUUUGGCUCCUCCUUGUAUUCCUCUCCGAUAUAGUAAAUCUUUCCUCCUCUGGCCGUGGUUUUUUCCGUCAAGGAUUUCCACAUAAAUGUGUGUGUUCAUCUUGUUUUUCUUUUGAUAAUCAUAUUGCUUGUUCCUGAUUAAUUUCAUAACAGUAUUGAUAGAAUUUUAACAAUACAAAGUAAAAUGAAACAUGAGUUGCAGUGUUUUACUCUUUAAUAUAAUCCUCCUACAUAAUAUGGAGGAUAUCCUUAUAUUAAGCAUGCAUUUCUGGAUCAAAUGACCGAGAAGAUUAACCAACAUUAUUAUAUUAGUUUAAGCCGUUUGUUGAUCAUAUCAAGAGUAAUAAUACCAACUACAGAUUAAUUGUUAACAUCUGAAAUGAACAGUUAACACUUAACAAAUAUAAAAUAGUGGCCUUUAUUUACAAAUUAUAAAUUUGUGGAUCCAUUUUUGUAUUUGAAAAAGGUGAUAUCAUGAUAUCAAAAUUAUCAAAUCAAGUUUUGGAGAACUUAAAAUUUUAUCUUUCCUAAUUUCAAAUUAGGACAUGAAAUCGCUUGUCCAAACGCUUACUUAGUUGCUUAUCCCUUGGCCAUGCAGUCCAAAAAUAAAUUUUGACUGUCAUACUCCCUCAACUUCAUAAAAUUAUCAUUGUUUCUUUAUUAAUCUAGUUAAAAGGAAUGACACAUAUAAUAUGUGAAAAUAAAUAACUUUUAUUGACGAAAUCUUAUAGCCACAAAACAUUAUGACUACAAGUUUCAAGAUUUUAUUUUAUAGUAAAAUUUUGUUCUAAGUCAAACUAUAUCACAUAAAUUAAAACAGAGAAAGUAAUAACGAGAGAUAAAACAUGAAUAGAACUUGGAGCUAGACAUGAUAUUUUGUUCCUGCAUACUAAAUUAUCUCAUGGUUUAGGAUUUGACUUUUGAAGGAAUGUACUUUAAGAAGGUUUGGCAGAACUGAACAGAUUGAAAAUGCUUUCCCUCUAUACAGAAUUCAAUAUUUAUAUAAACACACACACACAAGGCAGUGGAAGCAGGGGCUUUGAAGAUAACAUAAGGAAAGAACAAACUAAAGAAUGGCUACUAAACCUGGAAUCCUUACAGAAUGGCCUUGGGCAUCCCUUGGCAACUUCAAGGUACUCUUUCUUGGAUUCCAAACUAUUUUUCCAGUCAAAACAUGUUAUGUUUCUUCUUCUGUUGUUGGCGACUACAUGUUCCUUCAUUGAUGCAUCAGUACUGUAUGGUCUUGCACUGAGUUCUUUACCGUCCAAGUAGAAGUGAACAACAAAAGUGUGUGUUUUAUUAUCAGAUCCUACCUUACAUUCAAGUAGUAUUGGCAUUUGCAAGUUUAAUGCAUUUAACUUUGUGUAUUCUCUUCUUUCUUCCAUAUCUUUUUCAAAUUUAUGAUUUUGUGCUGAAUCGUGAAGUUACUAUACUAGAACUUUUGCUAAACUCUUUUUACAUUUUUUAAUUGUCGUGAUGA
This 1673-nucleotide long non-coding RNA is filed under the name Capsicum annuum. RNAcentral's name for it is "long non-coding RNA (CANN_LNC001843)". The record is from RNAcentral. Lineage: Eukaryota; Viridiplantae; Streptophyta; Magnoliopsida; Solanales; Solanaceae.